Molecule: transfer RNA, 74 nt
Filed under: Xenorhabdus bovienii
Lineage: Bacteria; Pseudomonadati; Pseudomonadota; Gammaproteobacteria; Enterobacterales; Morganellaceae
Also listed under: 10 other names
Description: tRNA-Gly
Rfam family: tRNA
About the family: Transfer RNA (tRNA) molecules are approximately 80 nucleotides in length.
Source: RNAcentral
GCGAGUGUAGUUCAAUGGCAGAACGAGAGCUUCCCAAGCUCUAUACGAGGGUUCGAUUCCCUUCACUCGCUCCA